CGUGGAGACAGGUGGUGCAUGGCUGUCGUCAGCUCGUGUCGUGAGAUGUUGGGUUAAGUUCCGCAACGAGCGCAACCCCUAUUGCAUGUUGCCCAUCCCGCUUCGGGCACUCAUGCGAAACUGCCCCGGCAACGGGGAGGAAGGUGGGGAUGACGUCAAGUCAGCAUGCCCCUUACGUCCUGGGCGACACACAUGCUACAAUGGGCGGCACAAAGGGCGGCGAGACCGCGAGGUGGAGCAAAUCCCAAAAAACCGUUCUCAGCUCGGAUCGGAGUCUGCAACUCGACUCCGUGAAGUUGGAAUCGCUAGUAAUCGUGGAUCAGCAUGCCACGGUGAAUACGUUCCCGGGCCUUGUACACACCGCCCGUCACACCACGAAAGUCUGCUGUACUCGAAGUCGCUGAG
Molecule: ribosomal RNA, 405 nt
Filed under: uncultured Methylomirabilota bacterium
Lineage: Bacteria; Methylomirabilota (SeqCode)
Description: bacterial SSU rRNA
Rfam family: Bacterial small subunit ribosomal RNA
Source: RNAcentral